ACGGCGCAGCGCGAAUUGAGCGCUUUGAGCGUUGACGCCGAUUCGCGGGAAACGCUCAAGUUGAAAAAUUUGAACUUUGGCGGACAUUCGCGCCGCGUUAACCAAUCAGGAGCUUUCUCUAGUAGUGACGUGAUUACAGGAAGCCAGCAGACGGCGGAGGCAGAAAUGCAAAACAAUGGAGAUCAAUCGUCGUGAGACAUCUUCGUACUUUUUACCGAAACAGGAAUUUAAAAGAUCUUGGUUUGGAAGAAAGUGAGUGAGGAAGAUCGAACAAUCUGGUAAGUUUACUCAAUUUGAGCUAUACAUGUAAGCAAUGUCCUAAUAACUCAAUAUACGGACCGUUUAUUACGUUUAUUACCAAUAUUACCGUUCUUUGGACACAAAGUGUAGUUUUAAGAUUAGUUCAGUCGAGAAUAUAUAUGUACACUAUUCAAAUAUGCAGUCGAUUAGUAGAGAUAGCGCCUAUUUGAAUGUUUGCUUAGACAGAUUCGGGCAUGAGAUCCAGACGAAGCAGGCGAACGUCAGUGUUCUCCUUCCCCGCUGACCACAGCCUGAACUGGGCUAAAUCCCUGAAAGGGAUUCCCUGGCUCUUAUGUAGGCCUAUCUGUGUUUACUGGUCAAAACUAAGAUUUUAUUUGUUUUGGGUUGAUAAAACCAGUAGUAUUUUGUCUUAUGAAUCUAUUACUUGUUUAUUUUAUUCAUAUUUAGUCUUUUUUUAAUAAAUAAUUAAACUAUUUAUAGUAUACACUAUUAAUUUUCCACGUAGUCUUACAUAUUGCCAAGUGAAGCAACACAACAGGGCAUAUAUGUUGUUUUUUAUAAUGAAAAGUCAAAAUUAGUUGUAAAUGAAAAUUAAUUUCUCUCUGACUAAUGUAAUGUGCCAUAUGUAUAAUGUUGUAUUAAUAUUUCAUAUUGUCAUUACAGAGCCGACUGUUUUUUUUGAUGGUGGUGAGCCUGUGUCCCCUCUGAACCUGCUGCUGCUUCUGCUUCCCAUGCCGACCCAUCAACGUCUGCAGCUGUCCCCGCAGCGCCACCAAGAUGAAGAGCUCAGAGAAGGCCUAGAUAGCAGCCAUUAGUUGUGAAGCGGCAGCCUCCUAAAGCACUCCGGAGUCCGGACCAGUCCUGUAGAUCCAGCACCGCCUCCACGCUCAGAGGAUGAGCUCUUCCUCUUGAGUCUGGUCCCUUACCUGCAGAGGUUGCUACCUCAGAUGAAAAAAAUUGUUACAUUUAAAGUUCACAAAUUAAUUUAUUAAAGCAGCACAGUUGUGCUUAAUGUGGAACCUACAAUGCAGUUUUAAAAAAGAGGCAGCAAUCUCUGCAGGUAAUGAACCAGACUUUCUCUCCUCUCCUUCACUUUGGCUCUCCCCCUUCCAAGCAAGAUCCUUUCUUAUUCCUCUAUGUAAAUAGUUGUAAAGGUUCUUUGUAUAUAUUGAUAUAUUUUGUAUAAAUAAAUGGUCUAUACAGUCACCAAA
Non-coding RNA from Misgurnus anguillicaudatus (oriental weatherfish), 1472 nucleotides. Lineage: Eukaryota; Metazoa; Chordata; Actinopteri; Cypriniformes; Cobitidae. The record is from RefSeq and is a predicted model, not a curated record.